Non-coding RNA from Arachis ipaensis, 128 nucleotides. Lineage: Eukaryota; Viridiplantae; Streptophyta; Magnoliopsida; Fabales; Fabaceae. The record is from RefSeq and is a predicted model, not a curated record.
UUUAUUGAUAACUUUGUGUGUGAUGAUGUUAGUGUUGCAAGUACGAGGAGUAUUGAAGUUAGUCCCACAUCAAAGAAAGUAAGGAAGAAUGAGGAGUUUAUAAGAUGAGAGACCCAUUAACUUGACAC